CCCAGACUCCUACGGGAGGCAGCAGUGGGGAAUAUUGGGCAAUGGGCGCAAGCCUGACCCAGCAACGCCGCGUGAAGGAAGAAGGCCCUCGGGUUGUAAACUUCUUUUAUCAGGGACGAAACAAAUGACGGUACCUGAGGAAUAAGCCACGGCUAACUACGUGCCAGCAGCCGCGGUAAUACGUAGGUGGCAAGCGUUAUCCGGAUUUACUGGGUGUAAAGGGCGUGUAGGCGGGACUGCAAGUCAGAUGUGAAAACCACGGGCUCAACCUGUGGCCUGCAUUUGAAACUGUAGUUCUUGAGUACUGGAGAGGCAGACGGAAUUCCUAGUGUAGCGGUGAAAUGCGUAGAUAUUAGGAGGAACACCAGUGGCGAAGGCGGUCUGCUGGACAGCAACUGACGCUGAGGCGCGAAAGCGUGGGGAGCAAACAGGAUUAGAUACCCGUGUAC
RNAcentral lists this ribosomal RNA (449 nucleotides) under uncultured bacterium. RNAcentral's name for it is "bacterial SSU rRNA". It matches the Rfam family "Bacterial small subunit ribosomal RNA", at positions 330 to 793 of the family's 1533-position model. The record is from RNAcentral.